GGGGAAUAUUGCACAAUGGGGGAAACCCUGAUCCAGCGAUGCCGCGUGAGGGAAGAAGGUUUUCGGAUUGUAAACCUCUGUGGACAGGGACGAUAAUGACGGUACCUGUUUAGAAAGCCACGGCUAACUACGUGCCAGCAGCCGCGGUAAUACGUAGGUGGCGAGCGUUGUCCGGAAUUACUGGGUGUAAAGGGAGUGUAGGCGGGAAGGCAAGUCAGAAGUGAAAAUUAUGGGCUUAACCCAUAACCUGCUUUUGAAACUGUUUUUCUUGAGUGAGGCAGAGGCAAGCGGAAUUCCUAGUGUAGCGGUGAAAUGCGUAGAUAUUAGGAGGAACACCAGUGGCGAAGGCGGCUUGCUGGGCCUUUACUGACGCUGAGGCUCGAAAGCGUGGGGAGCAAACAGGAUUAGAUACCCUGGUAGUCCACGCCGUAAACGAUGAUCACUAGGUGUGGGGAGUUGAACCUUUCCGUGCCGGAGUUAACACAAUAAGUGAUCCACCUGGGGAGUACGACCGCAAGGUUGAAACUCAAAGGAAUUGACGGGGGCCCGCACAAGCAGUGGAGUAUGUGGUUUAAUUCGAAGCAACGCGAAGAACCUUACCAGGUCUUGACAUCGAGUGACGAUCCCAGAGAUGGGAUUUCCCUUCGGGGCACGAAGACAGGUGGUGCAUGGUUGUCGUCAGCUCGUGUCGUGAGAUGUUGGGUUAAGUCCCGCAACGAGCGCAACCCUUACUAUUAGUUGCUACGCAAGAGCACUCUAAUAGGACUGCCGUUGAUAAAACGGAGGAAGGUGGGGAUGACGUCAAAUCAUCAUGCCCUUUAUGACCUGGGCUACACACGUACUACAAUGGCGUUUAACAAAGAGAAGCGAAACCGCGAGGUUGAGCAAAUCCCCAAAAAACGUCUCAGUUCAGAUUGCAGGCUGCAACUCGCCUGCAUGAAGUCGGAAUUGCUAGUAAUCGUAGGUCAGCAUACUACGGUGAAUACGUUCCCG
Molecule: ribosomal RNA, 993 nt
Filed under: uncultured bacterium
Lineage: Bacteria
Description: bacterial SSU rRNA
Rfam family: Bacterial small subunit ribosomal RNA
Source: RNAcentral